RNAcentral lists this long non-coding RNA (250 nucleotides) under Medicago truncatula (barrel medic). RNAcentral's name for it is "long non-coding RNA (MTRU_LNC005228)". Lineage: Eukaryota; Viridiplantae; Streptophyta; Magnoliopsida; Fabales; Fabaceae. The record is from RNAcentral.
UUAUCUUCAACAAUAGCGGAUGCACCAAAGCUAUUACCAGCAUCAACAAAAGUUGGAAGUCCACCAAUUGUCAAUCCAUGUUAAUAAGCUAGUAAAAUAAUCUUAUAAGCCGGCGAGAAGGAAUUGUUACUAAUAAAAUCAACGAUGAUGUUGAUAAGUUUCGGACAUUCACCACAAAGAGGUCUCAGAAAGGGCAUUUACCUCCUAAUUUUAUUAAGCAUGUUAUUGACAUGUUAUAUUUCAUCUCUCU